Molecule: ribosomal RNA, 670 nt
Filed under: Hepatozoon sp.
Lineage: Eukaryota; Apicomplexa; Hepatozoidae
Description: SSU rRNA
Rfam family: Eukaryotic small subunit ribosomal RNA
Source: RNAcentral
UACAUGAGCACAUUCUCAACUGUUUUAGAAGAGAAGCAUUUAUUAGAUAAAAAAUCAAUAUAUGUUUUUAAAGCAUAAAAGUUGGUGAUUUACAAUAACUAAGCAAAUUGCACAGUGCAAACUGGCAAUAAAUCAUUCAAGUUUCUGACCUAUCAGCUUUCGACGGUAAGGUAUUGGCUUACCGUGGCAGUGACGGUUAACGGGGGAUUAGGGUUCAAUUCCGGAGAGGGAGCCUGAGAAACGGCUACCACAUCUAAGGAAGGCAGCAGGCGCGCAAAUUACCCAAUUCUAACAGCAUAAGAGAGGUAGUGACAAGAAAUAACAGUACAAGGCAGUUAAAAUGCUUUGUAAUUGGAAUGAUAGAAAUUUAAAUACUUUUUAAAGUAUCAAUUGGAGGGCAAGUCUGGUGCCAGCAGCCGCGGUAAUUCCAGCUCCAAUAGCGUAUAUUAAAAUUGUUGCAGUUAAAAAGCUCGUAGUUGAAUUUUUGCUAAAAAUAACCGGUCUGCUUUUAUUAAUAAAAGUGGUAUCUUGGUGUGUUUUUAGCAAUAAUGUCCUUUGAAAUGUUUUUUACUUUAUUGUAAAAAGCAAUUUUCAGGAUUUUUACUUUGAGAAAAUUAGAGUGUUUCAAGCAGGCUAACGUUUUGAAUACUGCAGCAUGGAAUAAUAAAAU